Molecule: ribosomal RNA, 377 nt
Filed under: uncultured bacterium
Lineage: Bacteria
Description: bacterial SSU rRNA
Rfam family: Bacterial small subunit ribosomal RNA
Source: RNAcentral
AUACGUAGGGGGCGAGCGUUGUCCGGAAUUACUGGGCGUAAAGGGUGCGUAGGCGGUCUUUUAAGUCAGAUGUGAAAUACCAGGGCUCAACCUUGGGGGUGCAUUUGAAACUGGGGGACUUGAGUGCAGGAGAGGAAAGUGGAAUUCCUAGUGUAGCGGUGAAAUGCGUAGAGAUUAGGAGGAACACCAGUGGCGAAGGCGACUUUCUGGACUGUAACUGACGCUGAGGCACGAAAGCGUGGGGAGCAAACAGGAUUAGAUACCCUGGUAGUCCACGCCGUAAACGAUGGAUACUAGGUGUAGGGGGUAUCGACCCCCUCUGUGCCGGAGUUAACGCAACAAGUAUCCCGCCUGGGGAGUACGGCCGCAAGGUUGAA